RNAcentral lists this ribosomal RNA (327 nucleotides) under uncultured eukaryote. RNAcentral's name for it is "partial 18S ribosomal RNA". It matches the Rfam family "Eukaryotic small subunit ribosomal RNA", at positions 1470 to 1796 of the family's 1831-position model. The record is from RNAcentral.
CCCUUAGAUGUUCUGGGCCGCACGCGCGCUACACUGACCGGUGCAACGAGUUGUUUAUCCUUUGCUUCGAGAGGCAUGGGGAAUCUUUGAACGCCGGUCGUGCUGGGGAUAGAUUCUUGGAAUUAAAAUCUUCAACGAGGAAUUCCUAGUAAACGCAAGUCAUCAACUUGCAUUGAUUACGUCCCUGCCCUUUGUACACACCGCCCGUCGCACCUACCGAUUGAAUGCUCCGGUGAAACUUUCGGAUCGUGGUGUCCGGCCUUUACGGGUCGGCGCCGUGAGAAGUUAUUUAAACCUUAGCAUUUAGAGGAAGGUAAAGUCGUAACA